Molecule: ribosomal RNA, 253 nt
Filed under: uncultured bacterium
Lineage: Bacteria
Description: partial 16S ribosomal RNA
Rfam family: Bacterial small subunit ribosomal RNA
Source: RNAcentral
CACGUAGGGCGCAAGCGUUGUCCGGAAUUAUUGGGCGUAAAGAGCUCGUAGGCGGUCUGUUGCGUCCGCUGUGAAAACCCGGGGCUUAACCCCUGGCUUGCAGUGGAUACGGACAGACUAGAGGUAGGUAGGGGAGAAUGGAAUUCCUGGUGUAGCGGUGAAAUGCGCAGAUAUCAGGAGGAACACCGGUGGCGAAGGCGGUUCUCUGGGCAUUACCUGACGCUGAGGAGCGAAAGUGUGGGGAGCGAACAGG